GAUGAACGCUGGCGGCGUGCCUAAUACAUGCAAGUCGAGCGAACGGACGAGACGCUUGCUUCUCUGAUGUUAGCGGCGGACGGGUGAGUAACACGUGGAUAACCUACCUAUAAGACUGGGAUAACUUCGGGAAACCGGCGCUAAUCCCGGAUAAUCUUUUGAUCCGCAUGGUUCAAUAGUGAAAGACGGUCUUGCUGUCACUUAUCGAUGGAUCCGCGCUGCAUUAGCUAGUUGGUAAGGUAACGGCUUACCAAGGCAACGAUGCAUAGCCGACCUGAGAGGGUGAUAGGCGACACGGGAAGGGAGACAGCGUCAAGAGGACUACGAGAGGCAGCAGUAGGGAAUCGUCCGCAAUGGGCGAAAGCAUGACGGAGCAACGCCGCGUGAGUGAUGAAGGUCUUGGGAUCGUAAAAAUCGGUUAUGAGGGAAGAACAGAUGUGUAAGUAACUGUGCACAGCGUGACGGUAACUGAUCAGAAAGCCACGGCUAACUACGUG
RNAcentral lists this ribosomal RNA (497 nucleotides) under uncultured bacterium. RNAcentral describes it as "partial 16S ribosomal RNA". It matches the Rfam family "Bacterial small subunit ribosomal RNA", at positions 28 to 507 of the family's 1533-position model. The record is from RNAcentral.